Small nucleolar RNA from Dioscorea cayenensis subsp. rotundata (Guinea yam), 106 nucleotides. Lineage: Eukaryota; Viridiplantae; Streptophyta; Magnoliopsida; Dioscoreales; Dioscoreaceae. The record is from RefSeq and is a predicted model, not a curated record.
AACCCAUGUUGUGAACACUUCUACAAGAGAUCCUUGAAUCAUUCCCAUGUCUUAAAUAAUGAUUCUAGCUCUAUCUGAACAAACGAAGAGAUCUUAUUUUGAAGAU